AUACGUAUGUCGCAAGCGUUAUCCGGAUUUAUUGGGCGUAAAGCGCGUCUAGGCGGCUUAGUAAGUCUGAUGUGAAAAUGCGGGGCUCAACCCCGUAUUGCGUUGGAAACUGCUAAACUAGAGUACUGGAGAGGUAGGCGGAACUACAAGUGUAGAGGUGAAAUUCGUAGAUAUUUGUAGGAAUGCCGAUGGGGAAGCCAGCCUACUGGACAGAUACUGACGCUAAAGCGCGAAAGCGUGGGUAGCAAACAGGAUUAGAUACCCUGGUAGUCCACGCCGUAAACGAUGAUUACUAGGUGUUGGGGGUCGAACCUCAGCGCCCAAGCUAACGCGAUAAGUAAUCCGCCUGGGGAGUACGUACGCAAGUGUGAAACUCAAAGGAAUUGACGGGG
Molecule: ribosomal RNA, 392 nt
Filed under: uncultured bacterium
Lineage: Bacteria
Description: partial 16S ribosomal RNA
Rfam family: Bacterial small subunit ribosomal RNA
Source: RNAcentral